AGCUCCAAUAGCGUAUAUUAAAGUUGUUGCAGUUAAAAAGCUCGUAGUUGGAUUUCUGGCAGGAGCGGCCGGUCACACACUCUGUGUGUGAACUUGCGCUGUCUCUGGCCAUCCUUGGGGAGAUCCUGUUUGGCAUUAAGUUGUCGGGCAGGGGAUACCCAUCGUUUACUGUGAAAAAAUUAGAGUGUUUAAAGCAGGCUUAUGCCGUUGAAUAUAUUAGCAUGGAAUAAUAAGAUAGGACUUCGGAACUAUUUUGUUGGUUUGCGUUACGAAGUAAUGAUUAAUAGGGACAGUUGGGGGUAUUCGUAUUUCGUUGUCAGAGGUGAAAUUCUUGGAUUUCCGAAAGACGAACUACUGCGAAAGCAUUUACCAAGGAUGUUU
RNAcentral lists this ribosomal RNA (381 nucleotides) under uncultured eukaryote. RNAcentral's name for it is "SSU rRNA". It matches the Rfam family "Eukaryotic small subunit ribosomal RNA", at positions 587 to 969 of the family's 1831-position model. The record is from RNAcentral.